GUCCUUUGUCAACACAAAUAGGAGCAACCAAAACUGAUUACAACCAGUGAACAAAUACACUCUGUAAGUCUCCAUAAUUACAGUGUUUUUCUUCAUACCUGCUCCAUGUGCUCCUGUUUUUUUCACCUCUUAAUAACAGUUUAUCUUCUUUCACUGGCCCAGAGAGUGUGUGGUGUGGUGUGGUGUCAGGUCACAAUGGCUGAAAGCAAAUCUCACAAAAAGAGCGAUGUUGUUACCUGGGAGGACCUGUAUUUUCAAUGCACCAAGCAGGUAAACGGAAAGCAUUUCUUUAAACUCAAGCUCAUCCUGCUUUGAUAUUUGAUGCAUGCAUGUUGGACAAGGUUUUACUUAAAAAUAAAAUAAAAUAAAAAAUUCAGAUGUUUCACUCAAUGUGAAUCUGUCAUUUCAGUGUCAAAGCCCAUAAAAAAGAGAUAAAGCUUACCUUUAUAUAAACACCCCAGAUAAACAGCUGGGACAAAGUUGUGUUGGUAGAAACAGUAACAGCAUUUCAAAAUAUAUUUGACUUUUUAUCAAAAGCAAAUAUUCUACCUCAGUUUAUCUUAGUCCACCUGCAAGCUGACCAAAAAGAACCUGCACUCUGUUAUCUUGCUGUAUGCACAAUACAUGUCAACGACAAUUACCAUGUGCAAGAAAGUCAGUGUUUCCCAAAUCUUUUGACUCAGUCUUGUCACUUCUGCGGGUGUUUUCAAAAACCUCUGUCAUCAAUGAUCUAAAACUCUGUUUGUCAUGGGCAGGGGGUUAAAGUAAAAGAGAAAUAUCAUUUUCAACAAGUGAAUACAGUGAAGGUGUUAAAACAUAUAGCAAAUUCAUGUUAACUCACUGAAUUCAGGCUGCAUGAUUUGUGUUCUCAACUCACACCUAGUCAUGUCUUUGAGUUGACUUAACCCUAAACUAACAUACUGUUAAAGGCAUGGUUGACGAUCUGAGAAGCAGUUGAAAAAAAAACUGAGCCGUUUAGGCAGAUUUGAAAAAAGCGUCCCACCCCUAGACACAAACCUCUACCUUCUAUACUCUACAAUAACUACCCCCCUGGACCUUUAUCGCCCUCCCCACAACACUCCCCCUCUGGCAGAGCAAGCUAUCAUGUUGACAUUGCAGAGACUAAUGAGAGUUAUUUAUGUAACAUGUGCCACGAUAAAAGGCAAAAAUUACCUGUUCAACGUAAACUCUGCUAUUUCAGCAUCUGUUUUCAGGCCCAAAUCCUGGCAGAGCUUUCUCCACCGUUCGAAGAAUGACUUGAUGUUUAUUCAAGUUAGAUUCUUUGCUUGGUCACAUUGCCUCUUUUUCUGUUGGCUUGCAUUUUCUUAGCACUUUUGGCGGUGGGGCAAGCAGAAGAGUUUUUUUCCGUCCUUUUCCAUCACAGCUCCUGUAGCUAAGCUGCUACGCUACAUUUAGCCGCUCAGAGCUCCGAGGAGGACCGGGGCAGUGGGAAGGAACGAGUCGGAAAGACGGGAGAGGGGUGUGUUGAAUACAGCGAGGUGAUUGGAUGGAGAGGCAGAGCAGGAGAUUGACCAAUAGGAGCUGUCUGGGACGGAUGGCUCCCAUUGGUCAAUGUUUUUGCAGCCCUGAACCUGCUAGGGUGAACAGAUCUUUUCCAUCCUUUUUUCUCUUUACUUUGUGGAGAUCGCACUACAGGACCAUGAUCGCCAUAUAAACCAGGUUCAUAAUAAUAACCAAUCUCUCCAAUCGUCAACCAUGCCUUUAAACAGUUGUUCCAAUAACGGUUCCAAUAAUGCAUUUUUAAAACCAUGCCCUAACCAUGCAAAUUAAAAAUGUUUCCUCAGUUUUCUGCUGUUCUUGCCACGUGACCCCUGAGGUAAUCAUGACACAUUAACAACAGCAUCAGUUGCAACAAAUCAAUUUACUGCUGCACAGGAAAAACAACCACAAUAUAUAUUAUUUUCAGCAAAAUAAAGUCUGGCUCUGAGUCAGUAUGAUACUCACAGAUACAUUCAGACGUCAGCUGUGCUUCUGCUUCUUAAAUAUUGAAUGUCCUCACAGUGCUGCAGCCUGUGGCGCUGUCUGUAGCUCUGAAUACUUGUAUUUUGUCUCUACCCCCUUAGAAUUAGUAAAAAGUUUGGUUUUAGUUGUUGUGUUCUUAUGUGUUGUCCUCAUGUCCGUUUUUGGACUGACCUUUUGGUGCACAUGUGCGGCAUUUUGCUAAAGUUCAACCAUCUUGAGGAAUAAUUGGGGUCGGCAGUCUGUGGCGUUUUUGUUUUGGGGUCAGGGGCUAAAAAGUUAGGGAACCCCAACCUACAUGAAGAUGUUUAAAUAUGCAUAACUGUCCCUAUAACUUCUAUUAAUAGCUAAUUUACCUGCUUUUAGACAUUUUGAAAACUAACCUCAGUUUAUUAAUGUAAGUCUGGGAAUUUAUCUCUAUAGAGGUUACUGAUAUAGAAAUACACAAAAAAGAUUUUAUAGAAAUCCCCAGUUUUACACGAACGCAUGUUGGGAAAUGAGAGGUAGGACUGAACUUUUAAAAUAAAUUCCCAUAUUGUUGGGAAAUGUCUUUGCACAGCUGCGUCCUGGGUUGACAUCAGCCCAGUGUGCAAUUUCAAAAUUGAGAGUGAGCACAGUUUUGCAACACUAAAUGGCUUAACUGAGCGUUUUGAAAGUGUUUCUUCACCUCGGAAUAAGAUUAUUUAAACUUUAUAAACAUGUGAGCUGAAAUGUCAAAUAUUAACCAAGUCUUGAAACAGAGUCAAACAGAGCCCUGUCACCCCUCUAAAACACCACACUCCCAGCAUGCAGGCCUGCUCAUGGUACCUAAAGCCUUUAAAAGUAGUAUGAGAGGUCUUCAAGCCUCUCCCCUGGAAUCAUCUCCCAGUCAGGGUCUGGGAGGCAGCAGACACCCUCUCUACCUUUAAGAGUUAGCUCAAAACUUUCCAAUUGGAUAAAGCUUACUGUUAGAGCUUGGAUUACUUCUUAGUAAGGCUGUUUCAAGCUCAGACUGGCACACCGUCUCUCCUCUUUCUGUCUGCAUGUUGUUAAGUUUAAAUCUUCAUGUCCCACUAAACUACUUACCCCAGAUCUUUCCACAAGGUCUCUGAGCUCCCUUGUGUUGUAGGUUCCUCUGGGUCGCUGCUGCAGACAUCCUGCAGCUGUGGACCUGCCUGAGUCCAGCUGCUUCAACUUCAAGUCUUACCAUUAUCACCACUGUUAUAACACUAAAUGUGUAUUUUAGAAUAGAUCAACUCUAAUAGCUAUAACCCAUGUUAAUAUAUCAUUUUUGUCAUGAUUGUAAAUGCUUGUGUCACACCUGUUGACUUCAAAUAUUAUGACUGUUAAGAUCAGUCUGCUUUGCUGUUCCUGUACUUUUUACCAUUAUCACUGACACUCUCACCAAAAGUCUGCAAGAGCUCCUGUUGUUAAUGUGUCUCUAUCCGUCUCAUUAUUUCUUCUGGUUCUGCUCAAGGUUAAACCUCUCUAACUUGCUAAAUGCUGCACAGAGCUCUACUCAAAGUGGGUUGAAAUGGGAUCUUUAUCACAUAAAAAGUCUUGACCUUCUUUUUUGUUGUGUCUUGAGAUAACAUUUGUCAUGAAUUGGGGCUGUAUAAAUGAAGAUGGAUCACCCUGAAGGUGGCUCUGUAGUGGUUAAAUACCAUGGACCCUUGUUUUCAGGAUUGAGUGGCACCAACUCUUUUUCUUUUUCUUGCAGAGCAAUCAGGGUAAAAAGAUAUGAAGAUUUUUCAUCCCUGUUGCUUAAUCAUCGCUCCGGCACAACCUGUUAAUACUUCAACCUCAGUAAAAUUAAGCACAGAUUAAUCAAAGAGAAAAGAUGGCUCACACCACAAAGUGUAACUCGUCAGGAUAGACUUACUCUUACUCUUUUGGCAAUGACCCUGGUUUGAAAACCUUAGUUUCACAAAUAAAACAGCCACAUUUUUACACUGCAAGCAACAUACUUACAUAUUCGGAGCUGGUUAAAAUGCAAGAUGAGCCUGAACUCUCCGCAACCCCAAAACGGGCAACAGAGGGAAGAGCUUUGGUGCUAGUCUUGCCAUUUAUUUUAUUUUUUUUAUUUAAUGGCACAGGGUCAAACCAUAGAUUGUAUAUACUAUGGACACCUUGGUUCCGCCUUCCGCAAGUAUUUGGAUUUAAAGCUGGAAAGCUCUUGGUAAUUCCGCAUUUUUUUUUCUACUCCCAAAACCAACAUUACACAGUAGCAUUGAUGAUGCUCGACUCAAACAGCGUAUCCGGGUGAGCUACGCAAUCUUUGUUUGCCCAUAGGCUGUAUCGAGUGUCAAUCAUAGAAAACAUGAACCCCUAACAACUUUUAAAAACUGAGCUACACAGAAAAAAAUGACUUGAGCACAAACCAGUCCUACAUUAGCUACAUGUCAACAUUGCAAGCAGGGAGAAGAAAAAUGUAUAUUCUGUGUAAUAAAUUUCUAAAUUUUGUCCACAGCUCCAUAAGGAUGGCUGGAGGAGGCGGGAUUUAUGACCUAUACUGCAGCCCAGGGUGUGCUGUUCUCGGAGUGGCUUCACCCAGGGCGGAGGCAGACUGUGUCCAUUCUAUAUACGGUCUACAGUAUAACUGUUUCAAAACUUCAGGAAACAAAACAGAAGGUAGUAAUAGUUUGGUAAUCAUUGUUUGAAAUAUCUUGUCUACCUGUGAUCCUGCAGUAAUGGAAAUGAAAAGGAGCCAUAAUUUUAAUGCAUUUUAAAGGGGAGGACAUUCAAAACAAAACAAAACAAAAAAGACUGUUGUAAACAUGCAGGCUGACCAAUAUGUAAGUUUACAUUUUAUUUGAGAGGAUAUCUUUGCAUAUAAGCUUCUGAAAAAACAUUCAGUGACAGAAGUUUGCAAGGUUGAACUUAAUUACUGACUUGCUUUCAGCACAGCUCACUGUUACUUUCUACUAUAUUCUCAUAUAUUUAAGGUGGAACAUGAAUAAACACUAGGGGAGAGUGGAGUAAGAUGAGCCGUUUUUCAUAUUUCGGAUCACUACAUCAAGGCAAUCAUAAUUUUGUCUCUAACUAGUGUAUCUGCAUAUAUUUCAAGAUGUUGUUCAUCCCUGCAAACCAACAGAAUGAGUGUAAACAUAACUGUCUUGAUGAUAUAGCAUGCCAAAAAAAAGUGGUCUCCUAUGGUCAACUUACCCUGUGUAUGGGGUAAGUUGAGCAGUAUCCCUACAACCCCUCCACCCCAGCUCUCCCUCACCUUCUCUCUCCCUAAACAACAGUCACUUCUUCACAUUCAUGUGUAUUUUUAUUUAUUAUACACUAUUCAACUGGUACAAUAAUCUUUUUAGUAUUAUUGCAUAUAACUGCUAAAAAGCUGUUUUGUAAAAAGUCACAUGAGAAUGUCUUUAAGUGAUUGAGAACAUUCACAGCUGUAUUUUUGAAAAGAAAAAGUAACAUGUUUCAACAAUCUGAACUGAAACUCUGAUCCUCUCAUCAGACUUCUUUACUUUCUCAGUUGAGUCACUGGCUCAACUUACCCCUGAACUACUAUGAUUACUUUAUUAGUCCUCUCAGCUAAAAUGGUGGACUUUUAUAAAAUGAUCUUUUUUGGUCUGAACACAAUUCUAAUAAAACUUGUGACAGAUUAAAUUCA
This 5581-nucleotide long non-coding RNA is filed under the name Xyrichtys novacula (pearly razorfish). The record is from RNAcentral. Lineage: Eukaryota; Metazoa; Chordata; Actinopteri; Labriformes; Labridae.